GGAGGAGUGUGGCAUUGGGAAAGGUUCUGUAUUCUGUGACACUUUUUGGAAGUGGAGAAAGCACCAGCCUGCCGAGCAGUGGUGUCUCCGUGACAGUCACGUGCCUUGUCAUGUGGGGCUAGGAUUGUGAAGACAACUCUCAGACCUCGGAAGCCCUUGCUGUAAACACAGAGGCUGUGAUGCACCCAUGGCUAUGUAGUGUGAUGGAGAAAACUGAACUCGAGACUUGUUUGCUGGAGAGUCCUGAGUGAAUCAUCUCUUCUCUUCCUCAGUGUGACAGAAUGAGAGUUUCUCGUCCGGCUGGUGUGGAGAUGCGGAAAACUUGCAGGACUUGUGAACGACAGCGGAAGCUGCAAAGUGUGGCGGAGAUCUCUGUCCUGCUGUUUAAGAAGUGGGCCUCCGAGGGUCUGAGCCUAGCCACCUAGAGGAAAGUGGUCUGGCCAUCAUAGAGUUCCUCAGGCCACAUCUCAUCAGCACUUACCUUCUCGUACAUAAAUAUCGGGCAGUGGAAUCGGAGCAUGUGUCCCCUGACUGGAAGCAGUGACAACCACGGCAGCAGGUUUAUUUUUAAAUAAAGAUUGGAAAGUUAUAAGGCUCCUGAGGUUU
RNAcentral lists this long non-coding RNA (606 nucleotides) under Mus spicilegus (steppe mouse). RNAcentral describes it as "lncRNA (ENSMSIG00000011476.1)". Lineage: Eukaryota; Metazoa; Chordata; Mammalia; Rodentia; Muridae. The record is from RNAcentral.